UUUGCAUCUGUUUAUCGUCGACAUUGCCCACAAACAUCAAUGUCGAGGUUACAUCUUUGGUGCUAGAUUAAUUUUAAAUCGGAAACAUGUUAUUUGUUUUGAUUGAGCUAACAGGGCCGCAAAGAUUAGAGUUCAUCUUUGUACGGUAGUAAGCCGCUCACACAAA
Drosophila willistoni is the source of this 166-nucleotide non-coding RNA. NCBI's taxonomy places the organism in Eukaryota, Metazoa, Arthropoda, Insecta, Diptera, Drosophilidae. The record is from RefSeq and is a predicted model, not a curated record.